GAACAUCGACAUUUUGAACGCAUAUUGCGGUCCAUACUGACUAGUUUCUUUACCGAAGCUGUAUGGACCACACAUGGUUGAGGGUCGUUAGUUUACGCUAACUGAAUUGCCUUCGGGCUACAUCAUGAGGUGUUGGUAACCUUAAGUGUGUUGCCAUCCCUUGAAAAUACCUUUGGUACACAAUUUACCGAUUGUGAAUGCUUGUUUUAUCAAAGAAAACAAAUAUUGUCGCCAGCAACACAUCGAAUAAACGAUUUAUUGAGGCUAGUAAACUUUGACUAAGCGUUUAAACAUAAUAGUUUACGUAUUUGAAUGCUAACCUGAACACCUCAAAAAAUCACUUCGUUAAUUUAUUCGAGUAAGUUGUUGUUAAUAUGGCAGUAUUUCUUCGUUAAUUUUCUUUGAAGAUAAAAAACAUUCCCAUUUGAAUUGCGGGUGGCAUUCGCGUCACAUGCAAUCGGUUUCAUUGAAUACAACCAUAAAAGCGACCUCAACUCAUGUGAGACU
This 507-nucleotide ribosomal RNA is filed under the name Coelosia brevilobata. RNAcentral's name for it is "eukaryotic LSU rRNA". Lineage: Eukaryota; Metazoa; Arthropoda; Insecta; Diptera; Mycetophilidae. The record is from RNAcentral.